This 221-nucleotide unclassified non-coding RNA is filed under the name Hevea brasiliensis (rubber tree). Lineage: Eukaryota; Viridiplantae; Streptophyta; Magnoliopsida; Malpighiales; Euphorbiaceae. The record is from RNAcentral.
GAAAGUGCCUCUUUCCUGAGGAUCUGCUGUCUGCUUUCAGCCUCAGUUGGUGCUUUCCCUUCCAUUUACUCUUCCUCUGUUUACAAUUCCUCUCCUGCUUUCUCCAGAUCCCUCUUCACCACCACAGCCCAGUUAACGCAAUCAAAACUACCAUUCUAAUCGAACUCUGGGUCGCCAUUAAUUUUUUCGAUAACCCAUUUCAUCUCUCUCUCUCUCUCUCU